AUGUGAAAGUUGAAUUCUAGUAGCUAUAAGGAUUAAAUAGCUAUGGAAUUCAAAUUUAGAGGUCCUUAUAUGAUAAUUAGACCAUUAAGGAAAAGUAUGUAGAUUCUUGGUGACUCAUCUAUCGAAAUAUAGGAAAAGGGCAAGGACUAAAUUGGAAAUUGCAAACUACUUAAUUAAUUAAAAGUUGAAAAGAAAAUAUCGUCUUACUUUCUCAUCAUCUUCAACCUAAAAACACAUGGAAACCCUAGGAGAGAGAGAAGAGACUUUGAAGGCCUAAUUGGUUAAAAAGAGGGACCAAGAUAUUACCAUUUUGGGCUGCUGUGUUAAAAAAGCUUGUAGGAAGUUUAGGAAUUUUACUUCGGUACAAGUUAAUUGGAUUGGCCGAUGUAAUAAUAAGGCUGCUGAUUUUCUUUGUAAGUUAGCGAUUAAAGAAAAGUGUAAUUCGUACUUCAAUAUGGAUUUUCCCUUGGAAAUUCAUAGUAUUGUCAUUAAUGAUGCAAUAAAA
This is a long non-coding RNA of Gossypium arboreum, 505 nucleotides long. RefSeq lists it as uncharacterized. The transcript is spliced from 2 exons. The record is from RefSeq and is a predicted model, not a curated record. NCBI's taxonomy places the organism in Eukaryota, Viridiplantae, Streptophyta, Magnoliopsida, Malvales, Malvaceae.